Molecule: ribosomal RNA, 798 nt
Filed under: uncultured Actinomycetes bacterium
Lineage: Bacteria; Bacillati; Actinomycetota; Actinomycetes
Description: bacterial SSU rRNA
Rfam family: Bacterial small subunit ribosomal RNA
Source: RNAcentral
ACUCCUACGGGAGGCAGCAGUGGGGAAUAUUGCACAAUGGGCGCAAGCCUGAUGCAGCAACGCCGCGUGAGGGACGACGGCCUUCGGGUUGUAAACCUCUUUUAGUAGGGAAGAAGCGAAAGUGACGGUACCUGCAGAAAAAGCACCGGCUAACUACGUGCCAGCAGCCGCGGUAAUACGUAGGGUGCAAGCGUUAUCCGGAAUUAUUGGGCGUAAAGAGCUCGUAGGCGGUCUGUCGCGUCUGCUGUGAAAACUGGGGGCUCAACCCCCAGCCUGCAGUGGGUACGGGCAGACUAGAGUGCGGUAGGGGAGAUUGGAACUCCUGGUGUAGCGGUGGAAUGCGCAGAUAUCAGGAAGAACACCGAUGGCGAAGGCAGAUCUCUGGGCCGUAACUGACGCUGAGGAGCGAAAGCAUGGGGAGCGAACAGGAUUAGAUACCCUGGUAGUCCAUGCCGUAAACGUUGGGAACUAGAUGUAGGGACCAUUCCACGGUUUCUGUGUCGCAGCUAACGCAUUAAGUUCCCCGCCUGGGGAGUACGGCCGCAAGGCUAAAACUCAAAGGAAUUGACGGGGGCCCGCACAAGCGGCGGAGCAUGCGGAUUAAUUCGAUGCAACGCGAAGAACCUUACCAAGGCUUGACAUAUACCGGAAAAGGCUGGAAACAGUCUCCCCGCAAGGUCGGUAUACAGGUGGUGCAUGGUUGUCGUCAGCUCGUGUCGUGAGAUGUUGGGUUAAGUCCCGCAACGAGCGCAACCCUCGUUCUAUGUUGCCAGCACGUAAUGGUGGGAACUCAUAGGA